Long non-coding RNA from Humulus lupulus (European hop), 406 nucleotides. RefSeq lists it as uncharacterized. The record is from RefSeq and is a predicted model, not a curated record. The transcript is spliced from 4 exons. NCBI's taxonomy places the organism in Eukaryota, Viridiplantae, Streptophyta, Magnoliopsida, Rosales, Cannabaceae.
GAAACAAAUAAAUUAUACUGUGAUGAUUUCAGGAUUAUGUUGGGAACAAGCGGUUGGAGUUAUCUGGUCACCUUAUUUCCCUACUUUUUGAGGAUUUGUUCAAGACAAUGAUUAGUGAGGUUAAGAAGACUGUGGAUACUAUUUUAACAAAGCCCAGCAGGUCUAGUCGUUUUGACUUUUCUCAGUGGAUAGUGAGAGAUAGCAUAACAAUGGGACUUGAGAGGAGCCUUUCUACUGGGAAUUGGGAUGUUAAGCGAUUUAAGAUGAGCCGGAAAGGCAUGACACAGAAAAUUGAGGAUGGGACUUGAGAAGCUAGCUUGCAAGUUAUGAUUAAACGAGUUUCAAGUAUGGUUCAUAGUCUCUCUCUUUGUUUCUUCUUGGCUGGUUGUUUAUCGAAUACAUUUUA